RNAcentral lists this small RNA (72 nucleotides) under Flavobacterium xinjiangense. Its description in RNAcentral is "Flavo-1 RNA". It matches the Rfam family "Flavo-1 RNA". Lineage: Bacteria; Pseudomonadati; Bacteroidota; Flavobacteriia; Flavobacteriales; Flavobacteriaceae. The record is from RNAcentral.
CCGUAGCCCCGAUUGAAGUGAAAAUCCUUUGAGAGGAAACAACAAAGAUUGCAACAGAAAGCGGGAGCGAUG